AUGAAUGCCCAAACUCCUAAUUUCUACUGAUCAAUUUAACCUUUUUAAAAAGGGACGUUUGAAAAGGACUUGGGGAAUGUUUGGGUUCCAUAUCUUCGUUUUCCAUUUAUGGAUUUAUUGUUUUCUGGGAAGAAGAUACAGAUUUUCUUUUGAAUAUGGCCUGUCUUCUUGUUUAGACCUCACAGCUCUCUAUUAGCAAUCAGGAGAACUUGGGCCACCAGGAAUCCAAAUUAGUCCACAAGUCCAUUCCAACUAGCACUGGAUUGAAACACAUCAGACUUGUCUCAGCAUUCGUCAAGCUUAGUCUGUAGCUGGACAAACUGAAAGAAGUAAUUUAUCUUAGGAACUGUGGCACAGACUGCUUUCUGAUCAUUGGGGUGGGAGCCAUUGGAAUCAGAGAUUGGAAUGUUUAGAGAUCUUAGAAUUAAGAAUUUAGAGUGAAAAUACCCUUUUGAUGAUACCUUCCUUUUACGAAUGAGACCCAGAUGGGUCACAUGCGCUGUCCAAGCUUGCCCUGCCAGUGGGCAGCAGAGCCGAAGUGCAGGUCUCCUGACUGGCAGUCCAGUCUUUCUUUUUCUUCUAGGCUGCCUCCCCUUCUCAUCAAAUGGGAGGGAGAAAUUUACUUAGAAGAUUCAUAUAUUAUUCAUUCCAGAGGUUACUUUAGUGGUCAUCUGUCACAAGGAAGAAAGCUGAGUCUCAGAGAGAUGAGAUGACUUGCUUGGGGUCACAGGACGAGUGGAUAUCACCAGUCACAGGGCACAGGUGGCCUGUCUUGUUGCCAGAGAGAACUCUCUCCUCCAGGCCACCCAGGCAUCCCCGACCAGGGAUGGUCUGAGCCUUCAAGGCAGGGGGAACAUUUUGAAAGUGUCACACUGUGGUGGCUGUUCUCAGAAGUGCCUCCCUCCUGCCGGUGCUCUGCGAGAACGUUGGUCUGUCCUUUAAAGUAGUCCAACCCUGCACCUGUGUCUUACCGAAAGAUGUAACCCUUGGGGUCCUAUUGGUUUGCAACUUGUGGAAUUAUGUGUGCAUUCAGUGGAGGUGUAUUUAUAUUUUUCUAGUAGUAAAAUAUCUCACUGCUUCCCUCCCAUUUAGAUUAGGUUCUGUUUAUAAGGAGUACCAAUGUAAGGUAGUGUGAAAUAGGGGAUUUUAUUGUAGGAACUGAGAUAACUCCAAUGAUGGAGGCAACCUGAGGAACUGGUCAACUCCAGGGACCCACUCUUCUUGCCAUCUCUUUCUCACGGCUUCCUGCUUCUCCUUAUGCUUCUGCUCAGUUCUCCUCUUUACUAACUGGCUGGUCCAGCUUGUUUGAUGUUUUUGAACUGUCUCAGCUGUGGCUUGCUCAUGGCAUUUGCCAGCAUUUCUCCCUGAGGCCAUCGUUCCACUCUUCUUUCUCUUUGCCAAAGGCUCCUUCUCUGCAGGUUUCCUAGUUCCAGCUCUCACAAGACAGAGGAUGUGAUUGGCUCAGCUUACCUUUUUGCACUCAGACGUGAGCCAUAGUUACCCUCCAGACUAUGGGAUUGACUGCCCUUUAGUCUGGUGCCCAUCCCUCCACCAAUCAGAUGUGCCCAGAGAAGGAGUCCAUCACAUGGCAAAUCACCUGCCAAAUGAAGGGUCUGUUGGUGGGUCAGUUUCUUUCAAAGGGGCUGAAGGAUCGAUCAUCAGCACAUCUAAUGCAUCUACUUUUUUAAAAAACUAAGAUUCAGGUACCAUGGAACUGAACUUGUUAAUUGGCAUUUUUUGUAGGUUUGGGGGGAAACUAUAAAAAUACGUUAUUCAGUAGUUCUUUCAACGAUCGAUCAGUGAGUCGUGGCAAUACUAUAAUUUCCCAUCCAUGGAUUGGUUGGCUCUUUUGCAAGUAUUUGUACUGGGUUCCACUCCUUUGAAACUGAAAUUUCAGUGUGUUGCUGGCAGAGAAUGAACCCGUGCAUGCUGGCCUUUGAGCUCCAUCCUGAGAGGGUCUUGCGAUCACUAUGUUCUUGACCUGGUCAUGCCCUGAGUACAGCUUUCCUGCACCCAAACCUUACUCUCAUAUGUAAACCAUAUUUUAUGACCCAAUGAUAGAAAUUAGUUGAUUUGGGAGCUCGGGAUGGUGCAGGGAGUCAGGCAGACAUGUAGAGAAAAAGAAAUUAAUCUUUACUGAGCACCAGCUGCGAACCUGGUAUGGACAUUCUCAUUUUACAGAAGAGGAAGCCGAUGUUCAGAGAAGGUAAGAUACCUGCCCAAUGAGACACAGCAAGCGGGUAGUAGAGCUAGAAUUUAACCCAGAUUUACCUAAGUCCAAGUCCCUCUAUUGUAUCAUACCUUUUGGAGUUGGUGGGUGAGAAGGAGGUCAGGUGGAGGAAGAUAGUCCAGUCGAGGAGAAUGGAGGUCGUCCCAGCUAGAGGUGUGCAAUAGAGAUGGGCAAGUAGAACGUGGUCAGAGACUGUUGCCUGGGGUGGCAGAUUCCUGUUGGAGAUGGAAGGAGAUUAAAUGUCCGAGGCACCCAGAUUCUUGCACAAUAUAAAGGCCAGCCUAGGGGGUAACUGACACUUUGGGAGGCCUUGCCGAGUCACUGAAGGCAAGCAUGACAUGACCGAGGCAGCUGUUUAGACUAGAAGGGUUAGCCUGGAGACGGGUAUCAGAAGGAUCGGAUUAGGAAAAGACUCGAGGUGAUUUAGGCAUGCAUAGUUAUGGGGGGCCCUGCAGUCUUAAGAAAUGUUUCACCGCUGGUCAUCGUUUCAAGCAGGACACCUUGUCAAGUCCUCUACCUCCUUAUCUGCUCUGUGACAUUCACAAGCUUGGAAUUGUCAGUCCUGCAGGAUCUGAGCUCUGCUACAAAGCAUAGCCUUCGAUGGAUGGAGAGAAAUGCUGUUAUCUCUCAUAAUGUAUCUUAUUUGAAGCUUCCAAAUGUUGUNUUUUUUUUUUUUUUUUUUUUUGAUUUUUAAAAACAGAACCGCUCCAAAGGGUAGUGAGCACGGGAAGCUGAGGCUGUGGUCUAAAUUUCCCCUGAAAGUCUUAACCACGAGUGAGAUUUUGUAUAUGUAUCAAUCAUACCAUUUCCAUGCUCAGUCUCUGUUCCUGUCACUCCAAGUGUGAGAAGAGAUAGACGAUUGAGAUAAAAGAGAAGUUCCUAGGCUUUACCUUCUAUUUCUCCUUUUUCUUUUCCAUAGUAAAAUUACCGUGAAAUUACUUGUAAGAAGUUUCAGGCAGUUGGGCUAAGCUACUCGUGGAUUUGUCUUGGGAGGAAUGAAAAUCAGCAAAUUUUAUCUUCUUCCCUAUGUUUUGCAGCUAUUGAGGCUAUUUCUAUAAUUCGGGCAUGCCCAUAACAUAAAUAACGUUGGCCCUGAAACAUAAUCUUUCUGCCACUAGAGAGUAAGUAUCAAGUUUGGAAAUGGGUUAGUUUAUCUAUCUUCUUUUUCGUGAGAAGACUGAAGAGGGGAGUUUAACCCCUGAACCCUGAGGGGCCAGUAAUAAUACAGGUGGAAACCUAGUGGGUAAAAAUGGUAACAGGUUGAACAGCCUUUUCUUCGCUCUCCAGGCUGGACCUGGGGUCUCUCUUCCUUAACGUGGCAGAAGUGAUAGAACAAAAUUACCACCUUGACAAAACGGAGGAAGCAGUCCUCUGUACAGAGGCUCAACGGGUGAUCCUCCCAGCGCAGGGAAAUGUUAAUGAAGCCAAGUCGAAAACUGAUGAUGUGCUGCCCUCAGUGUGUAACACACCAUGUUAAGAGCGAAUACAAGCAUUUCUCCUUAGGUUCAGGGACAGAGAAUUUGAGCAGUGUCCUGGUAACAGCCUGCAUGGAAGCAGAGGUGAGUUGCUAAAAUUUCAAAUUCUCUGUAAGGACCCCAAGGGCAUGCUCUUUCCUCAUUGGUUUCUUGGCUGAGGGCUGAAGUCCACUCAGACAUCCUCCAGUUUUGAAAGCACAGGCCAUUAGAUGUUUCAGACAACACGACAUGCACGGAUUCCUAAAAAGGCCACGUUUCCAGGGGACUGUGUGGAUGUGAAAGCAGGCCCUGGCAGUCAGGUCACAGGACUUUAGUGUCAGGUGUGCAUGAAGGCCGGGUGCUGUGGCUCCUUAAACCAGCACCUCGGUGGCCCGGUGGCUGGGAUCACCGUGUCCUCUUCUUGACCCUGUCACUGCUGGGUUGGGGGAAAUAAUGGUAGAGUUUCAGGUGAGGAUUGUGAGAAAUGCUGUAUAGCCAAUAGAAUGGGAGUUGGCCGAGGCCAGCUUCACGCACAGCCUGCAGUUUUCCAGUUCUCACCCAGGGCGUCACGGUGGUCCCACCCAUCUUUGCAUCUCUGGGGAUUCUGGGAUCCAAGGCCAACUGGCUGUGGUGGAACGAAUGAAGAGAGGUGUGUAAGCUCCCUGGAACACGGGGGGGCUUUGGAAUUCUUGGAUAAAGAGAGGAGACUGUGUCUGUGCCAAGCUCUUGGCGGCAGAAGGGGUGCAUGUGGGCCAAGCACUCUCUGAGGAGAAGGAGGGACAGACGCCCGUCCAUCUCGAGGCAUCCGUCUUUUAUAGACAAGACACGCUUUUAAGCGCAGAACAAAAAGUUGUGUCCUCCUGCCCAGAGAACUAGCAAACUCCUCCACAGAGGCUGCCUCAAGGGGCCUUCGAAGUCCGUGUCCCUUAAGGGUCAGACAGUUCAAGGUCAGCUGAAAGAACUGGAUUUUCUUGGGGUGGGGCCUGGAGUACAAACCCUUCAGUUUUGAGAGAAACUGAGCGGCGCAGGGACUACAGGAGAAUUGGGAUGGCAGUAAAGAAUGAAAGGAUUUGUUGAGAAAUGGAAGGCGUCAGAGCAGUGGCGAAUGACCCCUGGGGAAGGGAGGGACUUGGGGUCCAGAGUUACAGUAACACACCCACUCGGGAGCUCAGAGCCAAGUACUUCCAUGCCCAUCAUCCACGCUUCAAAUAUCGCCAAGGCCUGUGUAGCUUGAAAAAAUAAGGAAUUCUCAAUAUUCGGUCAAAUAUUGGCCACUGAAAAAAUGUCACCAUUUUCAUCAAAGUUUUGUGGUAUGAAGGUCUCGGGAAGGUGGCACAAGCAAGGAAUUGGUGUGGGUGGUAUGCAGGCUGCUGGGGGUGGGGGACAGAGAAGGGAGUCUAAGAUUAGCUCUUGGGGUCAGAGUUGUCCCCCUAAUUGGAGCAGUGACCUGCACGCUUGACACCUUUAAAUAACGUUAGACGAUCUGAUUCGGGGUCCAGUGCUACUCCCUGAAGGUCCGUCCGACGCAGCAAAGAGCACCACGAGCACAUUCUUGCUUCCCUCAGGUCAGUUCCUGAGAAGCUCUGCCUGCGUACCUCCUCAGUUUGGGGGAAGGAGGAGCCCCGACCUGGUCAAAAUCAGCCUUCCUUCCCCAGAGCGCCUGUGACCUGAGACCAGGCAAGAACCACGACUGACCACAGGGGAGAAUCCAGUCACUUUCGUUACACUGUGCUCCUGUUCCUACCUGCUCCUGGACCCUUGGGAAGCCAGCCCCACACUCCUGUAGACUCUCUCUCAUCCCCUAGAUGAGCCUUUUCGUCUACCCCUUGGACAUUCUGACCUCGUACACACCUCGAAGUGUACCGGUAACUCUGCUCUAAUAUGUCAAGUUCUGAAAACAUUUCCACUCUUCUGGCCAAGGAGGCUCAGCCAGUUGUGGGGUGAAAUUUGGGAAGCCUGGAUUGGGAAGUGAAGAUCACCUUGUUCUGUGGAAAGUGAAAGAGGAAUUGAAGCGAGGAAGCUAACGCUCUUCCUUUGGUUCCAGCGCAUCAACCUUCACCUCUCCCCGCAGCACCGCGAUCACCAGCCAUCAAGGCCACCUUGCCCGGUGCCUUUUUUUUAAAAUAUGGCUUUAAAUGCUUCAUCGUGGUUAGAAGACAACAUAGAGAAGCAUUAACAAAAUGAUGGGGAAGACACAAAAUAGAAGAACAGAGAAAGAAGAAAGAGGAAGUAGAAUUCAGGAGGAGAAAAAAUCAUGACAUUGGUUUAUUGAAAACUGAACAGAAGGCAAAAUUGCACCCAGCCACCUCCAGCCCAGCAGGCUUGUCAAAACCAACUCAGACACAGGGGGACUCUUACCUAUUUGUCUCUGGAUCUUCAGAAUGGAGUCAGGAGAGGUGGCAUUUGGAGGCAGCGGAGCUGUGCUGGUUACCUUCGUUUCCCCCUCUGCAUCUACAGAGGUGUUUUGCACAUAAAAGGAUUUCAACAGAGUGAAAUGAUCACUAACUUUUAAGUUAUAUCUACUCUUGCAAAGUGAAAUGUGGAGUUCAGAUGUCUGGGGGGAUAAAAAGGUGUUAAAAAAAGACCCAAAUGGUCCACAUGAAUAAAAGAUGAUACAUUUGGGCCAGACCCGUGGUCCACG
This 6325-nucleotide long non-coding RNA is filed under the name Sus scrofa (pig). RNAcentral describes it as "lncRNA (ENSSSCG00035049514.1)". Lineage: Eukaryota; Metazoa; Chordata; Mammalia; Artiodactyla; Suidae. The record is from RNAcentral.